Long non-coding RNA from Manacus vitellinus (golden-collared manakin), 307 nucleotides. RefSeq lists it as uncharacterized. The record is from RefSeq and is a predicted model, not a curated record. Lineage: Eukaryota; Metazoa; Chordata; Aves; Passeriformes; Pipridae. The transcript has 3 exons.
AGACAGCCAGGGAAGGCAACAGGGUCGGGGACGGUGGCAGCUUCUCUGCAGAUGCAGUGUGUACUGGCAGCAGCACUGUCUGUCUUCAUUUCCCCCUGCAGCCUGCGUGCUCUUGUGCCAGAACCUGUGACCUGAGGACAAGCUGAGCUGCUCUGGCUGUUGUUUUAUGGGUUCAGUCCUCCACAAGCACAGCAAUUUAGAAGAAUUCGGAGAAGGUCCCACGAGCCCAAGGCAGAGCCCACAUCUCCUGGCGACCCCCAAGUCUGGACUGGAAGAGUUGGUCUCACCAAGUAGGGAUCUACAGCAG